UGGGGGAUAUUGCACAAUGGGCGAAAGCCUGAUGCAGCGACGCCGCGUGGGGGAUGAAGGCCUUCGGGUUGUAAACUUCUUUUGCUCUGAACAAGGCACACCAUGGGGUGUGUUGAGUGUAGGGGUUGAUUAGCGCCGGCUAACUACGUGCCAGCAGCCGCGGUAAUACGUAGGGCGCGAGCGUUGUCCGGAAUUAUUGGGCGUAAAGGGCUUGUAGGUGGCUGGUUGCGUCUGUCGUGAAAGCUCAUGGCUUAACUGUGGGUUUGCGGUGGGUACGGGCUGGCUUGAGUGCAGUAGGGGAGGCUGGAAUUCUUGGUGUAGCGGUGGAAUGCGCAGAUAUCAGGAGGAAUACCGGUGGCGAAGGCGGGUCUCUGGGCUGUUACUGACACUGAGGAGCGAAAGCAUGGGGAGCGAACAGG
This 419-nucleotide ribosomal RNA is filed under the name bacterium. RNAcentral's name for it is "partial 16S ribosomal RNA". It matches the Rfam family "Bacterial small subunit ribosomal RNA", at positions 355 to 776 of the family's 1533-position model. The record is from RNAcentral.